GCCAGGCGUGGUGGCUCAUGCCUGUAGUCCCAGCUACUCGGGAGGCUGAGGCAGGAGAAUGGCGUGAACCCAGGAGCUGGAGUUUGCAGUGAACCGCGAUCGUGCCACUGCACUCCAGCCUGGGCAACAGUGCAAGACUCUGUCUCAA
Molecule: small RNA, 148 nt
Filed under: Pongo abelii (Sumatran orangutan)
Lineage: Eukaryota; Metazoa; Chordata; Mammalia; Primates; Hominidae
Description: Metazoan signal recognition particle RNA (ENSPPYG00000041639.1)
Source: Rfam by way of RNAcentral